GCAUGGGGCAGUUUAGAGAGGCCAGAAAUGGGCGGUGUGGUGGUUUGGAGCAGACAGAUGGAGAGAGACGCUUCGUGGCACAGCAGUGUGGAGGAGACUGCUCGCCGUGUUUGCUGUUGACGGAGAUUGGCAUAGCCCCCUCCCGCCCCCCUAAGAAUCCAUCAACCCUAAACAUCUGGGAAAAAAUAAAGGGGUCUUGGUUCCCUCUCCCCACUAACCUUCUCUCUCCUACCUAGGGUUGGACCACUGUGAGUUUGAGGCCAGCCUGGUCUAUAACACGAGUCCAGGACAACCAAGGCUACACAGAGAAACCCUGUCUCAAAAAAAAAAAAAAAAAAAUCAACAUAGCUGGCACACAGCAAAAUAAUCCCUUUCUGCAGGAAGUCACAUGACAGUUACACACAUGAUCACGGGAGAGGAGUUGUUUAUUUACAGGAACUUGGGCACCUUACAGGCAGCUACAUCACUGAAGAACAUGUCUCUCCAUUCUGCCAUCAACCACUAACUGCCUACAGAACCUCAGAGGAGUAUGGGGUCUCACGAGCCGCUCUCCAGUUCAUAGUACGGCAUUGGUGGGUCCAGUCUUGUGCGGAUCCUGUGAAGGUGGUCACAGCUGUUGUGAAUUCAAGAGUGCAACAGCCAUGUCAUGCCCAAAAGACAGCAUUCCAAGCAUUCCACGGUACUCCAUCCCUUCCUCUGGCUCUUCUGUUCUUUCUACUUUCUCUUCUGCACUGUUCCCUAAGCCUUAGGGGUGGUGCUCUAGCCUUCCUGUUUAUGGUUAAGCAUUACAUGGACACUUACUCUCAUCACCUUGACCAGUUAUGAGUCUCUGCAGUUUUCACUGCUCACUGAAAAAAAAAAAAAAAAAAGAAGAAGAAGAAAAAGAAGCUCUUUGACCAAAACUGACAGCAGCACUGAUCUAUGAAUAUACAUGCAAUUAUUUAGAGAGCAAUUUGACAGGCACAUCCUGUCCGUUAAACAAAACAACAGUCCUAUGACCUCCUCUGAAUUCCCUCCUGAGGAGCAGACCUCACACAUCAGAAAGUAGUUUACUGCUCCCAUGACAGACUGCCACUCUUGCACGAAGAGGGCACAUCCAACUUGGCAAACUCAGCAAUAGUAUUAUCAUUAUCGUUAUUGUUGUUGUUAUUGUUAACACCAGCAGGCACAUUCUGCUUAGCAAACUUAGAUACUGGCUACGAAUAAUUACAGUUUGCUUUUAUUACAUUUUUUUUUUCGGAUGGUAAAGAU
Meriones unguiculatus (Mongolian gerbil) is the source of this 1251-nucleotide long non-coding RNA. RefSeq lists it as uncharacterized. Lineage: Eukaryota; Metazoa; Chordata; Mammalia; Rodentia; Muridae. The record is from RefSeq and is a predicted model, not a curated record. The transcript is spliced from 2 exons.